AAGUCGUAACAAGGUUUCCGUAGGUGAACCUGCGGAAGGAUCAUUUGAGUUCUGCUCUCCAGUCUCUUUUGGAGAUCAAUCAAUGCAACUCUAUACACAAAGUCAACAGUGUGAAAGUGGAACCCACUCAAACGAGAUGAGUGCAGUGCAGUGUAUGUGCGUUCCCACGCAUGAGAAUGUGUGGGAGCGGCAUGCCGCUGGCUCGUCUCACUUUUUCAUGCAUUGCUGUGUGCGAUGGAUAACAAAAACACAUGUACUCUAAACCAUGCCAACAGUCUAUACAACAACAAUAGAAACCAAAAUGAACAGUUUUAACGGUGGAUCUCUAGGCUCGC
RNAcentral lists this unclassified non-coding RNA (335 nucleotides) under fungal sp. Its description in RNAcentral is "partial internal transcribed spacer region". The stretch from base 1 to 46 matches the Rfam family "Eukaryotic small subunit ribosomal RNA", at positions 1786 to 1831 of the family's 1831-position model. Lineage: Eukaryota; Fungi. The record is from RNAcentral.